GACUUCAAACCCUGGUCAACACUCUCGUUGUGUUAAAAAAAAUUCUGAAAGUUGAUCUUGUCAUUUGCAAAACACAAGUAUGAUUUCGUAUUUCCAGUUCCUGUGUCAAACGUUUAAAACAUCGGACAUUUUAAAACUUGUGUACGCUUCAGAAUGCAAUAAAAUAUGACUAAAAUAGGAUUUUCCGUUGCCAUGGACGAAAUUUUCUUUGUUCUUUGUCUAAACCUUUGAAAGUGGCCAAUGACAUAACGAUAAACCAAUAAAAAUGUCUUAGUAUCGUCUCAUGUUGCGGGAUAAGCCUAUACGAGAUACGAGAAAUAUCUUUUUUGCGCAAAAAAUAAUAGACAACAGACCGCAACCAAAAGACAAAUAUUCUUCAAAUGUACAUCCUGUUUCGCUUUAACUAUUACAUAAUCAACAAGUGUAUAUUUCAGUCAAUCUCUAAACGUUUCGUAACGUUAAAGAAUUAUUCCAAGUGUAUAAAAUUUGCAUGUACUUAUACAUUUGAACGAUUUAUACCAUUUUUAAAGUCAAAUGAUUCCUACUGACACUAAUUCCUAGUUUCCCUCUACGUAGAUUGUUCCUUGAAUUCAUUUAAUAGCUAAAUCUUAAUUAGAUAUCAAGUCAGUGCAUUAUAAUUCUUAGAUCUAUUUUAGUGUUUAUUUUAUGUUGAAUAAGUUGUUAUUACUUAUUUAUUCAUACUUUAUUGCUGUAGACAUGAUUUUUUAAACUGAGUUUAUACCUGUAGAUUUAAAGAAUCUUUCGAUUUAUUGUCAUGUUUGAUAUUAAGAUUGUUCAUCUCAAUGUCAGUGUCUAGAUUACUAUCACACCUUGUUGCACGUGGUCAGUUACAGCAUUUCUUUCCGAAUACGGCAUCAUGAUCAUGUUGGAGUCUUGAGUACACUUCUGCUUUUAUUAGUUUAUCCUUUUUUGAAAAAUCGAUAAAACUAUGCAUUUUUAAAAAUGCUUUCAAAUAUUUGUGUGCCACAUCUUGAUACUCCAUCAUGUCAUAAUUUAUAACGAUAAUUUCUCGAUUAAUAUCAUACCUAUAAUUGUACCAUGCAUAUUUCCAUUCUUUCUUAAUCCACAUUUCCAUUUGAACAUUCAUAAUCCUCGGACAGCAAAAUUACGAAAUUCAGACUCGUCGACAUUAUAUCAAUUGUUUCCUCCUCACGUAGUCGCCCUAUUUGACAAUCUCGAUAAGGUAAAAACACACGAAGUUUUUCUUCUUGAAGAAAAGGGACAAAUGAUGACGUCAGCCAAUGUCGCAAAUAAACGUCAUUUUCAUUGCAAGAUAUGUAGAUAUCAUAUGCAUAUGCGUCUGAUGGAACUACUAUCCCUUUGUAGUACUUUAGACAUUUUCGUGUCAUUAUAAAAAGUUCAAAACGGAUCGUAUAUAUAAAAAGCGAUGAUACAGUUACAAUAAACACUGCCACGGCAAGUGAAAUGUUCAAACAUAAGAUAUAGUCAUUGUAAAGUUUACAUCCAAGUUCAUGUCUAGUCAUAUUCAAUAUGUGAACUUUUUCAU
RNAcentral lists this long non-coding RNA (1528 nucleotides) under Mytilus galloprovincialis (Mediterranean mussel). Lineage: Eukaryota; Metazoa; Mollusca; Bivalvia; Mytilida; Mytilidae. The record is from RNAcentral.